GCCGGGCGUGGUGGCUCAUGCCUGUAAUCCUAGCACUCUGGGAGGCAGAGGCAGGAGGAUCACCUGAGGUCAGGAGUUCAAGACCAGCCUGGCCAACAUAGUGAAACCCUGUCUCUA
RNAcentral lists this non-coding RNA (117 nucleotides) under Pan paniscus (pygmy chimpanzee). RNAcentral also lists the same sequence under 1 other name. The record is from Rfam by way of RNAcentral. Lineage: Eukaryota; Metazoa; Chordata; Mammalia; Primates; Hominidae.